RNAcentral lists this long non-coding RNA (3257 nucleotides) under Lactuca sativa (garden lettuce). Its description in RNAcentral is "long non-coding RNA (LSAT_LNC005819)". The record is from RNAcentral. Lineage: Eukaryota; Viridiplantae; Streptophyta; Magnoliopsida; Asterales; Asteraceae.
GUUAAUAGAAACGAAAUAAUCCUCUAACGAAAUUCUUCUGGUUUUGGUUUAGGAAAUGUGUGAUCCACACUACGACCCCGACGCGUUUUUGCCUUUGUGUCUUCCCCAAAACCUAUUUCUAUCCAACUCCAACCACAAUUUCUUUUUUCCACAAACCUUUCCGCUCUCCAAAUCCCCUGCAACAAUUCGAAUCAUUCACACUUGCUUACUCGGUAACAUUGUUUCUCCCUUCUUUGAUUUAUUUAUUUAUAUAUUAUUUUUGUAAUUAAUCAUAUGAUAUUAAGAUGUGCGUAAUCUUGGAUUCUGAACGGAAUUACUCCGAUUUCAGCUAUGCACAUUGAUUUAGUGUGAAAAAUCGAUCACCAAAUAUAACUAACCCUCUUGUUGUUUCCUGGUUAUGUUUACUUUUUGGUGUUCUGUUUGCAUUCUUGAGUUUUGACGUUAAACAAAGAGUAACUAAUACUAAUAAGGCUAUACUACUCGACUACAAUCCCAAAUUUAAGCCUUCAUUCCCUCCUAUUUGCAACCCUAAAUCGUAAGGAGGAACAAAAAGUAAAUCACGAUCAAUCAUAAAUCUAGUAACAUAAAUAGGUUAAGUGGGAUUUUGAGAAAAGAUGCCGAAGUGAAAUAGUAGACUAAGAAGACUCAUCUUUCUGAUUUACAUUCAAACUUUCCUAAGUUAUCUUUAUUAUUCUUUAUGAAGCAUCAACAACCGAAGGCAUGUGUAUUGAAGGUGGGUCCUAGGACCCACCUAACAUUUUACUAACAUUUUAAAAUCUAUUAUAUAUUAUAUAUAAAAAAAUUGGAGACCUACCUUACAAAUUAUAAGGACCUACCUAAUCAUGUCUAGAAAAGAAAUGUGUCAAACCAUUUGAAGUCAUAUCUUAUAUCUCAAUCCAUUUAAAAUAGUCUAAUGUCACACUCCACUUAAAUUUUAAUCAAUUGGUAAUAGCCUCGUCUAUUUAAACUUAAAUGAAGAAAAAAAUUAACAUAACUAUAUUUUGUGAAACGUCGCCUAUCAACAACAUCUCCGACUUCGAGAUAUGUACGUAACAAGAUCGCCUUUGAUUUAGAUAAAAUAAUGAAAAUGACUAUAAUUAUGGGAACUUUAAUAUAAAUUUUGAGUUUAUGUUUAAAUAUUUUAAGAUAUAUGACCUGACCCGAUCCUAUUUUGUUUAAUCUUUCAUUUCUUCGGUUUCACUUAAAUAAGGAACCACGUGAAUUUUGGUUCUAGAUUCGCCACUGACCAAGAAUAUGAAAUAAUUUAACAUUUGGUUUUCAUCUGUUCAUGGCUUCAUAAAGAGUAACAUUUAAUUUACAAUCGAUCAAAGACCAAUUAUGUGUAAAGCAUGUACUUGUAUUUGCUUCAUCCCAAAAAUACUAUAAGACAUGUGAGCAAAUAUAAGCAUUAAUUAGGCAACUUCAUUGUUGGAUUUUGUUUUUUCUUUCAACAACAAAAUUUACAUAGUAGCAUAGCACUAUCUUCUUGGCCGUGGGUUUGAAAUAACACUCAGGUUCGAAAGACGACAUUUAAUAGCUGAAAUUCAAACAUUUACUUGUGAAAUUGGUUCCUCAAAAAGAAAAGACAAAACUAGCCUCAUAUGAGGGGCGCAUGUUGAAGAAAACAGAUAAUUCCAUAAUGAAAAACUCAUAAAUAAGGACAAUUUUUGCAAUUUGAAAUUAUUUUGGACCUUAGUAAAAAAAUUACAAAUAAGAUGGAACAGUUUUGCAGUUUUUUUUAAAAAAAAAGAGGUAUAAUAAAAAAUAAUGAUUAUUGGUAAAAGAACAUUUUAAACAAUUAAUUUGAACGACCAAUAUGAUUAUGAGAAAUUAAAAAUCUUCAUAUCUUUUUUUCCUAUCUAUUUAAGAUGAUGAGAGGUGUACAAAUUUAACAUCCUAAUCAAAUUUAAACACUUGUCACUAUCUAAAAUAGAUAGGAAGAUAUUAAGAACAAAAAAUAAAAAAAUAUUAUCACAAUCUAAAAUAGAUAGGAAGAUAUAGGAACAAAAUAAGAAAAUAUUUAAUUUCUCAAUCAUGAUUAUAUUAGAUACUAAAAGAUACUCUCGGUAGUCAUAAGAGCAAUUUGGCUGGUUAAUACUAAAUAUGAAGGAACCGUAAUACGAAAUAGAUGCAAAAUUUGGAAUGUCGGUUUAACUAAACUUUCCAUAUUUUCAAGUUAUUUAAUGCCAAUUCUUAAUUAAAAUCAUGAUCUUCCAUAAACGGUUCGUUUGACUACAAAAGAGCGCCAGGCUCUUGUACUCUUCGGUAUUCAUAUUUCUUCUUCCUGAUCUCUCGUAUCCACCUUUGUUUUCAUCAAAUUACGAGGUUAAUCGUUUUCCUCGUUCUUGGUAUGCUCUUAGUCGUUUUCUUUCUCUUCAUCGAAAAUACAUAUGCGUUUUUGUAGGGUUUUAAACACCAGAUUCUUGGGUUCUGAAAGGAACACUUAGAUUUUAGUCGUUUUCUCCGGUUCCAGUAAAUAAUGCCACUUCCAAAACAGAACUAAUCUCUAGAAAUUGGCGACAGACGAUGAUGUCGGAGAGCAAGCGUUCUUAGCUGUUCUUCUUUCAUGCUCUGCAUUUUUUCUUCAGGUAUUUUUAUCCGUUCUCUAAACAAGUUAAUAGAAACGAAAUAAUCCUCUAACGGAAUUCUUCUGGUUUUGGUUUAGGAGAUGUGUGAUCCACACUACGACCCCGACGCGUUUUUGCCUUUGUGUCUUCCCAAAACCUAUUUCUAUCCAACUCCAACUCCAACCACAAUUUCUCUUUUCCACAAACCUUUCCGCUCUCCAAAUCCCCUGCAACAAUUCGAAUCAUUCACACUUGCUUACUCGGUAACAUUGUUUCUCCCUUCUUUGAUUUAUUUAUUUAUAUAUUAUUUUUGUAAUUAAUCAUAUGAUAUUAAGGUGUGCGUAAUCUUGGAUUCUGAAUGGAAUUACUCCAAUUUCAGCUAUGCACAUUGAUUUAGUGUGAAAAAUCGAUCACCAAAUAUAACUAACCCUCUUGUUGUUUCCUGGUUAUGUUUACUUUUUGGUGUUCUGUUUGCAUUCUUGAGUUUUGAUGUUAAACAAAGAGUAAUUAAUACUAAUAAGGCUAUACUACUCGACUACAAUCCCAAAUUUAAGCCUUCAUUCCCUCCUAUUUGCAACCCUAAAUUAAAGAAUGAUACGAAACAAAAAAUGUGACAGAUUACAAUUCCGAUUUCUUGAAUUUCUUAUUUUCAUUGACAGCUUCCACUCCUAAAAAAGACAUUCUACGGAC